RNAcentral lists this ribosomal RNA (426 nucleotides) under uncultured bacterium. RNAcentral describes it as "bacterial SSU rRNA". It matches the Rfam family "Bacterial small subunit ribosomal RNA", at positions 354 to 796 of the family's 1533-position model. The record is from RNAcentral.
GUGAGGAAUUUUCCGCAAUGGGCGAAAGCCUGACGGAGCAAUGCCGCGUGAAGGAUGAUGGCCUAUGGGUUGUAAACUUCUUUUCUCAGAAAAGAAUUAUGACGGUAUCUGAGGAAUAAGCAUCUGCUAACUCUGUGCCAGCAGCCGCGGUAAGACAGAGGAUGCAAGCGUUAUCCGGAAUGAUUGGGCGUAAAGCGUCUGUAGGUUGUUUAAAAAGUAUUCUGUCAAAGAUUAGGGCUUAACCCUAGAUAGGCAGAAUAAACUUUUAAGCUAGAGUUUGGUAGAGGCAGAGGGAAUUCCCGGUGGAGCGGUGAAAUGCGUAGAUAUCGGGAGGAACACCAAAGGCGAAGGCACUCUGCUGGGCCAAUACUAACACUGAGAGACGAAAGCGAGGGGAGCAAAUGGGAUUAGAAACCCUGGUAGUCC